AGGAUAAGUUGGUUUAAGAUUUGGAGUAGGCUUAUUCAGUACUAGCAGACACACCAUAGUUUGACCGGUGUAGUUCCCGUUCCUGUGGGAAUAUGGGGUAGCACAGAGUAAUACGGGCUAUAUUUUAUAUAGCCUAUAUUACUCUGUGCUGUAGCUUACCAAUGGUGAAAGAUUUUUUAUAAUCAGUCCAGUAGUAUUUGUGUUAGAUUGUAAGAAACAAAUAAUAAGAUCGGUCACUGUCAUCCUAAGAACCUAAAUUAAACCAUUGAAUAUUAUUUACAGGUCUUGGCAGCUUUAAACUUUUAUGCCAAUGGAUCAUACAAAUGGCUUUGUGAUGGCUAAGGCAUCUUUUAGCAAAUGCCUACAUGAAGUCGCUGACGCUCCUGAAUACCCCAGCUGUUUAAAAAAAAUGUGUUAAGUUCCCUUUGCAUUAAACACAAAAUCAUUAUAAAUAAAUAUGUGAUGCCAAUCUAAUAAUAACAUAGUGGAUGCUCAAUUUGGUGGUGCAUCUUAUGACUUGUACAUAUGGAACCAGUGCAAUAAGACCACUUGAGGAAAACCUGCCCAAUAGGGACCGCUGUUGGUUGUUAGGUGACCAAUGUUUGCAUGAUGACCCCCAUCUUGGGAGCUGCUCCUAGAUCCCAUGAAGAUAUGCACAACAUUGCUGUGUCAGAAAUACGGUGGAGCCUUGUAGUUGGGUGCAUAUUGUAAAAUGUUUCCUCACUCCAAAACCAUGAACUCUGGUUUCCUAAACCCUCAAGCUAUGCAGCCGAAGGAGGAGACUUAUCACAGGAGAAUCACUAAUAAUUUUGAAGAAGUGAAGAGCUUAACAAUGUUUCAACCAACACCUAAAGAAGCUUUCACUUGGCUGUUAGAUCAAGGGCUGGAUACAGAAAACAGUAAUUCUUGUGAUGGCAGUAUUGUCCAAGGAUUCCUCACUCAAAACCAUGAUAACAAGUUGCUAGAACCCUCAAGCUAUGCAGACAAAGGACUGGAUAUAUUUUUUCGUGACCAAGCCUUCUGUAUAAUUAUUUAUACUUAAACCAUACAAAGCACUAUCUAGCCCCAAAGUAGGCAUACAGAGUAGCUUGUGUUGUGGGUACUAAGAUAGUUGAUAUUAUAAUAUUCAUUUACAUUUAUAUACUACCUAUAAAUACUUAUAUAAUGUAUAAAUACACACCCACUGGAAAAAACCCAUGCUCUUCACACAAAUAUUUUCCAGGUGUGGGAAUCGAACCCAUGACCGUGGAUGCAGGAGCACUACUUACUGCGCCACGCGUAUGUGUUUUUAUUUUGAAGCAAAUUAUUAAAGUUGAUAAUUCAAAUUGUAGUCAUGUUUUUAAUUAAUCUAUAAUUAAUUUUUAAUUUACAUUUUUGUUAAAUAUUUACCUAUACUUCAGUCUAUUUUUGUUAGAGGGGGUACCUAUAUGUGUAAGUAGGGUCGUUUCUUGAUUAAAUUAAACUAAAGAAUGAAAGAUAUAUAUUAUAACAAAAUUUGUCAACAACAAUAUAUCAAGUCUGAAUAAAAAAUACCAACACAAGUAAA
Bicyclus anynana (squinting bush brown) is the source of this 1546-nucleotide long non-coding RNA. RefSeq lists it as uncharacterized. The transcript is spliced from 4 exons. NCBI's taxonomy places the organism in Eukaryota, Metazoa, Arthropoda, Insecta, Lepidoptera, Nymphalidae. The record is from RefSeq and is a predicted model, not a curated record.